RNAcentral lists this non-coding RNA (26 nucleotides) under Homo sapiens (human). The record is from RNAcentral. Lineage: Eukaryota; Metazoa; Chordata; Mammalia; Primates; Hominidae.
UGAAAUGCAUCAUGGGCACACAGUAG